GAUGAACGCUGACAGAAUGCUUAACACAUGCAAGUCAACUUGAACUUCGGUUUGGGUGGCGGACGGGUGAGUAACGCGUAAAGAACUUUCCUCACAGCUAGGGCCAACAUUUGGAAACGAAUGCUAAUACCUGAUAUUAUGAUUAUAUGGCUUCGUAUAAUUAUGACAGCUAUAUGCGCUGUGAGAGAGCUUUGCGUCCCAUUAUCUAGUUGUAAAGGUAACAGCUCACCAAGGCUAUGAUGGGUAGCCGACCUGAGAGGGUAAUCGGCCACAAGGGGACUGGGAGACGGCAGUACUCCUACGGGAGGCAGCAGUGAGAAAUAUUGGAAAAUGGACCGAGAGUCUGAUGCAGCAAUUCUGUGUGAACGAUGAAGUUUUUAGGAAUGAAAAGUGCUUUCAGUUGGGAAGAAAAAAAUGACGGUACCAACAGAAGAAGUGACGGCUAAAUACGUG
This 453-nucleotide ribosomal RNA is filed under the name uncultured bacterium. RNAcentral describes it as "partial 16S ribosomal RNA". It matches the Rfam family "Bacterial small subunit ribosomal RNA", at positions 28 to 507 of the family's 1533-position model. The record is from RNAcentral.